AGAGUUUGAUCCUGGCUCAGGAUGAACGCCGGCGGUGUGCCUAAUACAUGCAAGUCGAGCGCACUGGCCCAACUGAUAUGACGUGCUUGCACUGAUUUGACGAUGGAUUACCAGUGAGCGGCGGACGGGUGAGUAACACGUGGGCAACCUGCCCUAAAGCGGGGGAUAACAUUUGGAAACAGGUGCUAAUACCGCAUAACUACGAAAACCACAUGGUUUUCGUAUAAAAGAUGGUUUCGGCUAUCACUUUAGGAUGGGCCCGCGGUGCAUUAGCUAGUUGGUAGGGUAACGGCUUACCAAGGCAAUGAUGCAUAGCCGAGUUGAGAGACUGAUCGGCCACAAUGGAACUGAGACACGGUCCAUACUCCUACGGGAGGCAGCAGUAGGGAAUCUUCCACAAUGGGCGCAAGCCUGAUGGAGCAACACCGCGUGAGUGAAGAAGGGUUUCGGCUCGUAAAACUCUGUUGUUGAAGAAGAACGUGCAUGAGAGUAACUGUUCAUGCAGUGACGGUAUUCAACCAGAAAGUCACGGCUAACUACGUGCCAGCAGCCGCGGUAAUACGUAGGUGGCAAGCGUUAUCCGGAUUUAUUGGGCGUAAAGCGAGCGCAGGCGGUUGCUUAGGUCUGAUGUGAAAGCCUUCGGCUUAACCGAAGAAGUGCAUCGGAAACCGGGCGACUUGAGUGCAGAAGAGGACAGUGGAACUCCAUGUGUAGCGGUGGAAUGCGUAGAUAUAUGGAAGAACACCAGUGGCGAAGGCGGCUGUCUGGUCUGCAACUGACGCUGAGGCUCGAAAGCAUGGGUAGCGAACAGGAUUAGAUACCCUGGUAGUCCAUGCCGUAAACGAUGAGU
This 850-nucleotide ribosomal RNA is filed under the name Limosilactobacillus panis DSM 6035. Its description in RNAcentral is "bacterial SSU rRNA". It matches the Rfam family "Bacterial small subunit ribosomal RNA", at positions 8 to 814 of the family's 1533-position model. Lineage: Bacteria; Bacillati; Bacillota; Bacilli; Lactobacillales; Lactobacillaceae. The record is from RNAcentral.